CCUACGGGAGACAGCAGUGAGGAAUAUUGGUCAAUGGACGAGAGUCUGAACCAGCCAAGUAGCGUGAAGGAUGACUGCCCUAUGGGUUGUAAACUUCUUUUAUAUGGGAAUAAAAUGUUCCACGUGUGGGAUUUUGUAUGUACCAUAUGAAUAAGGAUCGGCUAACUCCGUGCCAGCAGCCGCGGUAAUACGGAGGAUCCGAGCGUUAUCCGGAUUUAUUGGGUUUAAAGGGAGCGUAGGUGGAUUGUUAAGUCAGUUGUGAAAGUUUGCGGCUCAACCGUAAAAUUGCAGUUGAAACUGGCAGUCUUGAGUACAGUAGAGGUGGGCGGAAUUCGUGGUGUAGCGGUGAAAUGCUUAGAUAUAACGAAGAACUCCGAUUGCGAAGGCAGUUCACUGGACUGCAACUGACACUGAGGCUCGAAAGUGUGGGUAUCAAACAGGAUUAGAUACCCGGGUAGUC
This 460-nucleotide ribosomal RNA is filed under the name uncultured bacterium. Its description in RNAcentral is "partial 16S ribosomal RNA". It matches the Rfam family "Bacterial small subunit ribosomal RNA", at positions 338 to 795 of the family's 1533-position model. The record is from RNAcentral.